UUGUGAGACACCAUGUGGUGCUGGGACUUGAACUCAGAACCUCAGGAAGAGCAGCCAGUGUUCUUAACCUCUGAGCCAUCUCUCCAGCCCUGGUGUAUCACUGUUAAGAAAUAAAGAUAUAUAUUAGCUGAGCAUAGUUGGGCAGAUUAUAAUAAAAAGUACUCAGAAGACUGAUGCAGAAGGAUCUCAGAGUAGAUCCUAGCCUGGGCUGCAUCUGGGAAUCCUGUCUCAAAACAAAACAAAACAAAACAAAAACCCACAAACAUACAGAUGUGUAUAUGUGACUUAUGCUUGGGUUAAAAUAUCCUUUUAUUUCUAUUUCACUAAAAUUAUCCUUAUCAAUAAUUGAUUUUUAAGCCAUGCAUGAUAUUGUAUGCCUUUAAUCCCAACACUCUAGAAGCAGAGGCAGGUGAAUCUCUGAGAUUGAGACCAGCCUGGUCUACAGAGAAAGUUCCAGGCUAAGUAGGGCUACAUAGCGAGACCCUGCCUUAAAGUAUAGUAAGUAUUUACAGUUUCCUCAUAGCUUAAAUUAUCAUGCUGACUUGUUCAUCACAGCUCUAUGUUUCUGUUAUUUUAGGCUUCACUUCAAGGCCAGUAGGCUCACAUUGAGCCUCCAUUGAUAAGUAUCUGAUGUGUUGUCUGCCACUUACUGACCAGCUUAUUUAUUUAUUUUAUUAUAGGUUUUGUUUGUUUUUGCAUUUUGAUACAGGGUCUCAUGUAUCGUAGUCUGGAUUUAAAAUUGUUCUCUAGCCAAGGGUGACCUUGAAUUCCUUCCUGAUUCUCCAGCCUCCACUUCUCCAGCACUGGGAUGAUAGGCAUGUUCACACAGUGCUGGGAUUGGAAUACAGAACUCCCCUCUAGGCAACUACUCUAUCAGCCGAGCUGUAUUCCCAGCCCAGUAUACAAGCUAACUAAAUUUGAUCUGAAAUAUUCACUGAGCAUCUGUAUGUGGUCAGCCCUGUCUCACUCAGCUGAGGUGAGUAUCCAUGAGAAGCAUAAUAUAGAUAGAAAGUUUACAAAUAAGUAAGGAUGAGACCAACUUUUAUUUUUUAAAAUGUGAUGGAGGUAGCUCAAUGGAAAGAGCAGCAGAUUGUGCAUCUGAAGAUUAGUGGAUGCAGGUGUAGCUCAGUGAAAGAGCAAUUACCUGGGUUGCUUGAGGCCUUGAGUUUAAUCCCUAGCACCAAAAUAGAAGAAACACCAUGAAGUGUUGUGGAACAUUAUUUUAAGAUGUGUUACAUUCGUUUAUGCUGUGGAAUAGUCGGUUAGUGAUCCAAAGAUGUGUUGCAUUCUUUUAUGUUGAAUGUGUUUAACUCUGUAAAGCUGUGUUACUUUGUUUAGAACACCUGAUUGGUCUAAUAAAGAGCUGGAUGUCUAGUAGCUAGGCUGGAGAAAGGAUGGGCAGGAUGGCAGGCAGAGAAAAUAACUAGGAGGAGAACUUGAGGCUCAAGUGAAGAGAAGAGCUAGGACCAAGAAAAGAAAAAGGAGGAGAGGAGGAUGCCAGGGGCCAGCUAGUCAGCCACACAGCCAGCCAUGGAGUAAGAAGGAAAGCAAGACAUAUAGAAUAAAAGUAAAAAGCCCAGAAGCAAAAGGUAGAGAGGAUAAUUUUAGUUACAAAAGCUGGCUAGGCUAAGGCUGGGCAUUCAUAAGAAAGAAUAAGCUUCCUUGUAUUUAUUUCAGAGCUGGGUGGCAGACCCCCCAGAAAAGCAAAGAAGAGUAAAAACAAGCAACAACAAUGAAGUGCCAAAGGAACACAGAAAAUCCAACCACUGGAGUUUGAGUGUCUGUGCUAGCAGAUAAUAAUAAUCCUGCUUUCUUCGUGGAAUGCAUAUGAAGGGGCGGGUGGAGAAUAAUACAGCCAGACCCUCCGAGGGCAUGGCUCAAUUACUAGACAGGGUAGGGCAGCAGGGCUGGAGAAGGCUGCAGAAAAGUUCAGUGCUUCCCAUGGCCCUGUGGCCCCAACAUGCACUCAUCCAUUCCAAAUCAAAAGUAAAGUGAUUCCAUGUCACUGCAGUUAGAAUAGCCAUUAUGAAAAUACUGAGAGUUCUUACUGAUGGAGAUGAUGAGUAAAGGGAACUCAGCUUCAGCUACAGUUGGAAAGGACACAAGUUAACAAAUACACCCUGGAAAACAAUCUGGGGUCCUCAAAAAAAAAUUAAGCCCACAACUUCCUUAUGAUCCAACCAUCCCUGGAUAUAUCCCUGCAGGAGAUGACAUUGGUAUAUGAAAUGAGGAGAUGUUGGCCCUGCCAUGUUUACUGCAGUGCUAAUACACAGUAGCUGUCUUAGUUACUGUUCUAUUGAUGUGAAGAGACACCGUGACCAAGGCAACUUAACACUAAAAAGCCUUUAAUCGGGUGCUUGCUCGCAGUUUCAGAGGGUUAAUCCAUGAUCGACAAGGUGAGAAGCAUGUUGACAGGCAGGCAGGCAUAACCAAUAUGAACUUUGAGUUUUCUCCCCUGCAGAUGAUUUUUGUUUACUUCAUGGAAAGGUAAUCACUACUCCUUGGAAGUAAAAAUUAACUCAGAUGAACUGAGUGUAAUUUUGACAACAUUAUAGUCUUUAAUAUUUUUAAAAGAAUUCAUAUGCACGAGUGUUUUACCUACAUCUAUGCCUGUGCAACACUUCAUGCAGUGCCUUUGGAGACCUGAAGAAGGCAUGGGAACCCCUGGAACUAUGUAGGCUCUCAGCUACUGCUCCAGUGGCACACUUUCCUGCCUUCUGUCAUACUCCCCAACAUGAUGGCUAUGGACUAAAGCUCUGAACUAACCUUCAUCCAGUGACUGAUGGAAGCAGAGACAGAUACCCACAGUUAAACACUGAAC
Mesocricetus auratus (golden hamster) is the source of this 2821-nucleotide long non-coding RNA. RefSeq lists it as uncharacterized. Lineage: Eukaryota; Metazoa; Chordata; Mammalia; Rodentia; Cricetidae. The record is from RefSeq and is a predicted model, not a curated record. The transcript is spliced from 3 exons.